GAUGAACGCUGACAGAAUGCUUAACACAUGCAAGUCUUUGGCGAAGCUGUGCUUGCACAGCCUAGCCAAGGCGGACGGGUGAGUAACGCGUAAGGAACUUGCCCUGCAGUCAGGGAUAACAGACGGAAACGACUGAUAAGACCUGGUAAAGUCAGGCGGACUCAUGUCCAGCCUGAUGAAAAGAGAUGCUGCAGGAGAGCCUUGCGUCCUAUUAGCUUGUUGGUGGGGUAACGGCCCACCAAGGCGAUGAUAGGUAGCCGGCCUGAGAGGGUGGACGGCCACAAGGGGACUGAGAUACGGCCCUGACUCCUACGGGAGGCAGCAGUGAGGAAUAUUGGACAAAGGGGGCAACCCUGAUCCAGCAAUUCUGUGUGCACGAUGAAGGUUUUCGGAUUGUAAAGUGCUUUCAGCAGGGAAGAAAAAAAUGACGGUACCUGCAGAAGAAGCGACGGCUAAAUACGUG
RNAcentral lists this ribosomal RNA (463 nucleotides) under uncultured bacterium. RNAcentral's name for it is "partial 16S ribosomal RNA". It matches the Rfam family "Bacterial small subunit ribosomal RNA", at positions 28 to 507 of the family's 1533-position model. The record is from RNAcentral.